AUUGAACGCUGGCGGUAUGCUUAACACAUGCAAGUCGAACGGUAGCAGGCCUUCGGGCGCUGACGAGUGGCGGACGGGUGAGUAACGCGUAGGAAUCUGCCUGGUAGUGGGGGACAACGUGGGGAAACUCACGCUAAUACCGCAUACGCCUACGGGGAAAGCGGGGACCGUUCGGCCGUCGCGCUAUCAGAUGAGCCUGCGUUAGAUUAGCUAGUUGGUGGGGUAAAGGCCUACCAAGGCGACGAUCUAUAGCUGGUCUGAGAGGACGACCAGCCAGACAGGGACUGCGACACGGCCCUGACUCCUACGGGAGGCUG
Molecule: ribosomal RNA, 317 nt
Filed under: uncultured Pseudomonadota bacterium
Lineage: Bacteria; Pseudomonadati; Pseudomonadota
Description: bacterial SSU rRNA
Rfam family: Bacterial small subunit ribosomal RNA
Source: RNAcentral